This 376-nucleotide ribosomal RNA is filed under the name uncultured bacterium. Its description in RNAcentral is "bacterial SSU rRNA". It matches the Rfam family "Bacterial small subunit ribosomal RNA", at positions 524 to 898 of the family's 1533-position model. The record is from RNAcentral.
UACGGAGGGUGCAAGCGUUGUUCGGAAUUAUUGGGCGUAAAGAGCGUGUAGGCGGUUAGGAAAGUCAGAUGUGAAAGCCCUGGGCUCAACCCAGGAAGUGCAUCCGAAACUACCUAACUUGAGUACGGGAGAGGAGGGGGGAAUUCCCGGUGUAGAGGUGAAAUUCGUAGAUAUCGGGAGGAAUACCGGUGGCGAGGGCGCCCCUCUGGACCGAUACUGACGCUGAGACGCGAAAGCGUGGGGAGCAAACAGGAUUAGAUACCCUGGUAGUCCACGCCGUAAACGAUGAGCACUAGGUGUAGCGGGUAUUGACCCCUGCUGUGCCGUAGCUAACGCAUUAAGUGCUCCGCCUGGGGAUUACGGUCGCAAGACUAAA